Molecule: ribosomal RNA, 419 nt
Filed under: uncultured bacterium
Lineage: Bacteria
Description: bacterial SSU rRNA
Rfam family: Bacterial small subunit ribosomal RNA
Source: RNAcentral
UUGGGGAUCUUGCACAAUGGGCGAAAGCCUGAUGCAGCGACGCCGCGUGAGCGAUGAAGGCCUUCGGGUCGUAAAGCUCUUUUCGGAGGGAAGAACACCUGAGCGUGCUCGGGUUUGACAUCAACUCCGGAAUAAGCCCCGGCUAACUACGUGCCAGCAGCCGCGGUAAUACGUAGGGGCAAGCGUUGUCCGGAAUCACUGGGCGUAAAGGGUCCGUAGGCGGCCGAUUUAGUCUUGCGUGAAAGCCCCGAGCUCAACUCGGGGACUGCGUGAGAUACUGAUUGGCUUGAGGGCGGAAGAGGCAAGCGGAACGUUGCAAGUAGCGGUGAAACGCAUUGAUAUGCAACGGAACACCAAUGGCGAAGGCAGCAUGCUGGGCCGUUCCUGACGCUGAGGGACGAAAGCCAGGGGAGCGAACG